CGAAUCUUCCGCAAUGCGCGAAAGCGUGACGGAGCGAUGCCGCGUGCAGGAUGAAGCCCCUCGGGGUGUAAACUGCUGUCAGGGAUUAGCAACACAAUGAGCAGUCCCAAAGGAAGAGACGACUAACUCUGUGCCAGCAGUCGCGGUAAUACAGAGGUCUCGAGCGUUAGUCGGAAUCACUGGGCUUAAAGCGUACGUAGGCGGAUCUGCAGGCGUCGUGUGAAAUACCUCGGCUCAACCGAGGAACUGCACGGCGAACCGCAGGUCUUGAGACGAGUAGGGGCGGUCGGAACGAUAGGUGGAGUGGUGAAAUGCGUUGAUAUCUAUCGGAACGCCGAAGGUGAAGACAGGCCGCUGGGCUCGUUCUGACGCUGAGGUACGAAAGCGUGGGGAGCAAACGGGA
Molecule: unclassified non-coding RNA, 403 nt
Filed under: plant metagenome
Description: partial contains 5.8S ribosomal RNA, internal transcribed spacer 2, and large subunit ribosomal RNA
Rfam family: Bacterial small subunit ribosomal RNA
Source: RNAcentral